CCAAACUUGGUCAUUUAGAGGAAGUAAAAGUCGUAACAAGGUUUCCGUAGGUGAACCUGCGGAAGGAUCAUUACAGAGUUAGGGUCUCUUCGGCCCGACCUCCCAACCCUUUGUUUACCUUACCUGUCGUUGCUUCGGCGAGCCCGUCAAUUCGUUGACCGCCGGAGGGCCGUAAGACGCCCUCGGGUCCGCGCUCGUCGAUAGCCAACUCUUCAAAACUCUUGAAUAAACGUGUCUUGAUCUGAGUACCAUAUUCAAAUAAAAGCAAAACUUUCAACAACGGAUCUCUUGGUUCUGGCAUCGAUGAAGAACGCAGC
RNAcentral lists this unclassified non-coding RNA (317 nucleotides) under uncultured fungus. Its description in RNAcentral is "partial contains small subunit ribosomal RNA, internal transcribed spacer 1, and 5.8S ribosomal RNA". The stretch from base 1 to 73 matches the Rfam family "Eukaryotic small subunit ribosomal RNA", at positions 1759 to 1831 of the family's 1831-position model. The record is from RNAcentral. Lineage: Eukaryota; Fungi.